GAAUCGGUGGUUCAGUGGUAGAAUGCUCGCCUACCACGCGGGAGGCCCGGGUUCGAUUCCCGGCCGAUGCA
RNAcentral lists this transfer RNA (71 nucleotides) under Cordylochernes scorpioides. RNAcentral's name for it is "tRNA-Gly". It matches the Rfam family "tRNA". Rfam says of the family: Transfer RNA (tRNA) molecules are approximately 80 nucleotides in length. Their secondary structure includes four short double-helical elements and three loops (D, anti-codon, and T loops). The record is from RNAcentral. Lineage: Eukaryota; Metazoa; Arthropoda; Arachnida; Pseudoscorpiones; Chernetidae.